GCUGGGCAUGGUGGCGCGUGCCUGUAAUCCCAGCUACUCAGGAGGCUGAGGCAGGAGAAUUGCCUGAACCCAGGAGGCGGAGGUUUCGGUGAGCCGAGAUUGCGCCAUUGCACUCCAGCCUGGGUAACAAGAGUGAAACUCAGUCUCAGAAAAAAAAAAAAAAAAGAUGAAGUUUAGCUAUUGUUGCCCAGGCUGGAGUGGAGUGGUGCGAUCUCAGCUCACCGCCUCCUCUGUCUCCCGGGUUCAAGUGAUUCUCCUGCCUCAG
This 265-nucleotide signal recognition particle RNA is filed under the name Callithrix jacchus (white-tufted-ear marmoset). RNAcentral describes it as "Metazoan signal recognition particle RNA (ENSCJAG00000086296.1)". It matches the Rfam family "Metazoan signal recognition particle RNA". Rfam says of the family: The signal recognition particle (SRP) is a universally conserved ribonucleoprotein. Lineage: Eukaryota; Metazoa; Chordata; Mammalia; Primates; Cebidae. The record is from Rfam by way of RNAcentral.